Cyprinodon variegatus (sheepshead minnow) is the source of this 575-nucleotide long non-coding RNA. RefSeq lists it as uncharacterized. NCBI's taxonomy places the organism in Eukaryota, Metazoa, Chordata, Actinopteri, Cyprinodontiformes, Cyprinodontidae. The record is from RefSeq and is a predicted model, not a curated record. The transcript is spliced from 3 exons.
CAGUUAGAAAAAUACAUUACCUACAACCAGCUCAAAACAAUGGGAAGUAAGGGCACAUUAAAUAGAAAACUAAUUUAUACAACAUCCUGCAAUCUACUAUGGAAUCAUUCCAAUAGGGAAUGAUUUUGGUCUUUUUGUCAUACUUUGUGUUUGUUGCUGUUGAGCCAAUUUAUUUAGCUAAAGAAUUAAGACAUUUCAAGCAGGGAAAACACAGAAACACAGAUUCCUGUCUUUUUUGUUCCUCUUCCAUCUUUAUGUUAUCCUUGUGUUUUUAUAAAGACCAGGAUGUCUGAUAAUUCCUGUAGGACUCUGAAAGGUCUCUGUCUUCUUCUUUUUCCUCUCUGUCUUCAUUUUUUCUGUGCUGCAUCAGAGAAUAGCAGUGAAACCUCCACCCUGUGAGGAGAAGCCACAGGAGAGCGCCAUGGAUGAACUGAAAUGCAUCCUGGAGACGGUGAAGAGGAGCCCCAGCCGAGGCUCCCAGGAAUCUGGACCUUCACCGCCAGCAAAAAAGGACAGUGAGCUGGAGGUGAUCCUCAGGCGCCGCCGCAACAAGGCUGGGGAGGCGGGAUCAGGAG